UUUUUUUUUUUUUGGCUCAUUUCCAGACCAGGUUCCCUGUCUGGGAGCUCAGACUCGCUUGGGCUCCAGCCUCCCGGCUCCAUGGACAGCCUGGCUCUGGACUCUAGACCGCCACCAUCACCAGCUCUGCACAAGCAAUACUCCACCUCCCAAGCCCCCCAGCCUCUUGCGCUCUGCCACUGCCCUUGGGGGGGCGGCCUGCCUGCUCUGGAUGCCGCCCCUGCCUCUCUGCUUUCUUUCCACCCCUGUCUGGUUGGAGCUUCCCCGAGCUACUCAAACCCUGACUGGGUUGGCCAGCUGCUGUCCAGGUGGGCACCAGUGCCUGGACUGGACCUUGUAAGAGAGAUGUCUGCUGGGGAUCCUGAGGUCCGGCUCAGGGUCGCCCAGAUCUGCCCCCUUCCUCGUCAGGUCUGGGGUGAAAGGCAAGGGGUUGCCCAGGAGAUGGACACAGCAGCCCUCGGGUCCAUGUCAGGGGGGAAAGAGGUGGCAGGAGAGGUCAAGGUCUGGGUCAGGCUCCUCCCCCUCUGCCUCGUCUCCAGACAGCACCCCCAAGAGCUGCAUGGAUUCUAACCCACAUCCAGGGGGUGGGGGGGGUGGGGAGCCAAGGAGAGAUGCUUGGGCUCCAUUUGUAACCAAAGCCAGACGGGCAUGGAGGGGGGUUCUGGGGAGGGAGGGGUUGGAGAGAGAGGCAUUUCCACCAAGGGGCCUCCGGCAGGGAACACAUUAGGCUGAAGCCACGGUCUGGCCACCUCUCUCCCAAGAAACCCAGGGGGAGAAGCCGGGACCCAGCAGUCCUGCCUGCAGACCAGAGGUGGGCCAGGGCAGACAGUCCUCACAAAAUGAGCUCGUCCUUGUCUUAUCACAGGCGGGGAACCCUGUGCGUGGAGUUUUCUCUUUCUGCAGAAAUUCUCUCCUGGUGUCGGCACUGGCUAAUGCUGCGUGUCUCGUGUUUCUAAAAUUAGCGCCCUGGGCUCUGCCCUUAGUGCCCAGGCCGGGGAGAGGGAGGCAACUCACUUGCCAGAGAGUCGUUUUAUGUCCUGCUGGUGAUGUUGAAAAGUUGGCCUCAGGACGGUGUGAGACUCCUCGACACCUCCUGCGGGGGGUUACUGGUGACCCAGAGGACAGCGUAGGUGUGUGUUGAUGUGGCCCCGAGCGCUGAUACCCAGAGCAGGUGGUCACGUCCAGGGCAUGGGGGAUGCGAAUGAGGGAUGCGAAUGAGGGGGGCCUGUCACCCUCAUUCCUCUAGGGGCCCAGGGAGACAGCAGGCGGGGACCUCCCUGCAGAGCGGUCGAGGACCUUCUAGCCAGAGGCGGGGCCUGACCUGCUGGUACCCUGGGCUGACCCGCCUGCAACCGCCAGCUGCCAAAACUGCCCGAGGGGGCUCCUCCACCCUUCCAGCUGGCUAAUGGGAAGUUCCCCCCAGAAGUUGACCUCGGGUCAUUUUUAACCCUUUGUACCAAAUAAGUUACUAACCCCCACCCGGAUUUUCCUCCACGAGGGUGAAGUCAGAUGGGGCAACGUGUAUGUGGUGGCGAAAGGCUGUGCCUCGGCUUCCCGGAGGCACCAGCUUGGCUGAGCAGCUGGGCUGGAGCUUGCUUGGCCCAGGGGGAGGGAGCACACGUGUGACCCCCAUGCCCUGGAGUUGGGGGCAUCUGUCCUUAGAAGAGGGCAGGGUGGGAAGGGAAGAAACAGGAUCCCCCACCUGCGGCCCACACUGUGCUGUGCUGUGUUGCGGCUCUGCCUGCCCCGGACCCCAGGGGAGCCUGGGGCUGACGACACAGGGGCUCGGUCACUGCCUUGCUCUGCUCAGGCAGGAUUCGUGGAAGGCGUGGCAGAGAUGGCAGCGGCCCUGCAGCAAUGCUGGGCUGUGGGCAGAAGCCGUGACAGAUGAUUCAGAGCAUCUGUCUUCACGGCUCUGCUCUGUUCAGACUGUCCCACUUCCUUCCUAGACACCGGCCCUCAAGGGACGUCUGUGAGGGGCCGUCGCUGUGAAGGAGGCUCCAGCAAAUGGGGCCCAGUCUUGGUUUGAUGAAGGGGAUGCGAUCCUUCGGGGAAGCACCAUCUCCCAACCUCCUCGGCAUCCAGUCCCCCUGCCCCACCCCCUGGCACUCGGUGGCGGGGGUGGGGGGAGCUCGCUGGAGCCGAGGGAAAGGGCCCCCCCCCCCCAACUCACCACUCCUGGUUGACCCCCACCAGGGCAAGCAUGCCUGAGCUCUUUACUGCCAGCCUCAAGGAGAGCAGAAGUCCCCUGCCCCUUGUAAAGACAAUUAGAGCCCUCCAAGGGUCCUCCUUUGGAAGUGAAAUGUAGCACAAUCUUAGACUGCGUGACCAGGAGCCCUGGCCUGCAACCAGGGUUCUGGCUGCCUACCUUGCUGCCCAGGAGACGCUGUGCUGCCCCCACCCUGGGGCUCCAAAGCACCUGAUACCUCUGCUUCCCCAUCUUCCUCCGCCCAGAGAGCAGCAGGGCUUCCAGAAGGCUGCUCUUCCGCUUCUGAUUGCUUCCUGCACUGUGCAAGCCCCGUGCAAGAAAUUGCUGCCUUUGCUCCACGGUGCCCUUUGGGGCCAGGAGGCGGUCAAGCGGGAGUGCUGCAGUGGCCACAGCAGAGAGACAAGAAGAGGCCUGCUGCCCUGCCGACUCCUGCCCCUUCCUCUGCCUCUCCCCGGUGUUGUCUUCUCUCCUUCCUCCUCUGCAAAACCAGAGCAUUUGGUAGUUACUCCAUGCUUCCCUCCAGGUGUUAAAAGUCUGGUCUGGAGCUGAUGAGGGUUGUGAGCCUGGUGUGCCUGGCACCUGGCUCCAGAGGCUGGUUCCCUCCAGCCCCCGGUGCCCACGCGGGUGCAGGUCUGGUCUGUCUCCGCCCAGAUGCUGCUUCUGACAAGAACUCUGGGAAUCCUCACGGCCUCUGCUGCCGCCUCUGUGGUUUGUUGUUCUGUUCUUCUUGAGAUCAUUAAGGGUUGUCUACAGUGGACAAGUUCCAAGGUGCUGAUGUGAUGUCACAACCUCAGCUGCAUCCUGCGCCAGCCAGUAUCCCCACUGGCAGAGGAGGAUGGGUCGGUCCUCGUUCCUGCUUCUAGAAUGUGGUCAGCAGGAGGAUUUUUAAGGAGAUGCCUUCCGAUGGGAGGAGAGAGGAAACUUAUUUCCCUGCAAAGUAUUUCACUUCUUAAAUAUUACUCUUCUCUCCAGCAUCUCUUACCAGACAUCAUCUCAGCGGGCAGAGCGGCUGCUUCCUUAGCAAAUGUUGGCCUGAUGUACCAUCCGCUCCUUGAGAAUGUAAAUUCACAGGAGGCAGGAACCCCUUUUUUAGAAUUUCCAAAUGCAUCCUGCAGAGAGAGAGAGAGGCGCACACACGCGUGCACUGAGAGGGAGAUAAGCACAUUGUUUGGAUAAGAAGCAGUUAGCCUUUUAUCUCCGUGCGCUAUACAUUUUCUGUGUGCAGCGUCUUUCCAAACUCGUGGCUCCAGGUGGCAGGUGGACGGCUGGGAAGGACUGCCGGCUGUUUCUUACAACACUCUUGCCAAUCCCCUUGAGGAGAAAAUUCUUCACAUGGCUUCUGCAUGUACAGUAUUUGGGCAGCAAAAAUAUAAAUAAAGAUUAAAGUCAGUUUGAAAA
Molecule: long non-coding RNA, 3607 nt
Organism: Phacochoerus africanus (Common warthog)
Lineage: Eukaryota; Metazoa; Chordata; Mammalia; Artiodactyla; Suidae
Exons: 2
Source: RefSeq, a predicted model, not a curated record